AGAGUUUGAUCAUGGCUCAGGACGAACGCUGGCGGCGUGGAUUAGGCAUGCAAGUUGAGCGACGGACAAGGGCUUGCCCUUGUUACGGAGCAGCGAACGGGUGAGUAACACGUGAACAAUCUGUCCCUACAUUCCGGAUAAUUGGGAGAAAUCCCUUGUAAUACGGGCGAGGAUCACUAAGAGGCAUCUCUUGGUGCGGGAACGAGCAAUCGGUGCAGGGAGGAGUUCGCGGUCUAUCAGUUAGUUGGUGGGGUAACGGCCUACCAAGACGACGACGGAUAGCUGGUCUGAGAGGAUGGUCAGCCACAUUGGAACUGAGAUACUGUCCAGACUCCUACGGGAGGCUGCAGUCGAGAAUCUUGGGCAAUGCACGAAAGUGUGACCCAGCGACGCCGCGUGAAGGAUGAAGGUCCUCUGGAUCGUAAACUUCUUUUAUGGGGAAAGAAAAGCUCGCAAGAGCCUUGACGGUACCCCAUGAAUAAGCCACGGCUAACUACGUGCCAGCAGCCGCGGUAAUACGUAGGUGGCAAGCGUUGUCCGGAUUUACUGGGCGUAAAGCGAACGCAGGCGGAUUGUUAAGUCCAAAGUGAAAGGUAGGAGCUCAACUCCUACACUGCUUGGGAUACUGGCAGUCUUGAGUAGCGGAGAGGGAGAUGGAACGACACGUGUAGCGGUGAAAUGCGUUGAUAUGUGUCGGAACACCAAUGGCGAAAGCAAUCUCCUGGACGCAAACUGACGCUGAGGUUCGAAAGCCAAGGUAGCAAACAGGAUUAGAUACCCUAGUAGUCC
This 789-nucleotide ribosomal RNA is filed under the name uncultured bacterium. RNAcentral describes it as "bacterial SSU rRNA". It matches the Rfam family "Bacterial small subunit ribosomal RNA", at positions 8 to 796 of the family's 1533-position model. The record is from RNAcentral.